UACAGAGGUCUCAAGCGUUGUUCGGAUUCAUUGGGCGUAAAGGGUGCGUAGGUGGCGUGGUAAGUCGGGUGUGAAAUUUCGGAGCUUAACUCCGAAACUGCAUUCGAUACUGCUGUGCUUGAGGACUGGAGAGGAGACUGGAAUUUACGGUGUAGCAGUGAAAUGCGUAGAGAUCGUAAGGAAGACCAGUGGCGAAGGCUGGUCUCUGGACAGUUCCUGACACUGAGGCACGAAGGCCAGGGGAGCAAACGGG
RNAcentral lists this ribosomal RNA (253 nucleotides) under uncultured bacterium. RNAcentral's name for it is "partial 16S ribosomal RNA". It matches the Rfam family "Bacterial small subunit ribosomal RNA", at positions 524 to 776 of the family's 1533-position model. The record is from RNAcentral.